AUGCAGCCCAAAUCGGGUGGUAAAUUUCGUCCAAGGCUAAAUAUUUGCGAGAGACCGAUAGCAAACAAGUACCGCGAGGGAAAGAUGAAAAGGACUUUGAAAAGAGAGUCAAAGAGUGCUUGAAAUUGUCGGGAGGGAAGCGGAUGGGGGUCGGCAAUGUGCCUUGGCCGCAUGUGGAACGGUGGUAAGCUGGUCUGCUGGACGACUCGAGGUGUGGGUCGAAGGUGAUUGAGGUGGAGGUCGAAGUUGAUGGUUAUGAUACAGCCUUCGGAUAUGUGCUCGCCUUGAUCAUUGCAGGUAGUGCGCGCUUUAAGCGAUGUUAUUUAGCACCAGCGCGCUCAAGGCAACGACUUGUGGGCUCCCCAUUUGACC
Molecule: ribosomal RNA, 372 nt
Filed under: Phoradendron vernicosum
Lineage: Eukaryota; Viridiplantae; Streptophyta; Magnoliopsida; Santalales; Viscaceae
Description: eukaryotic LSU rRNA
Rfam family: Eukaryotic large subunit ribosomal RNA
Source: RNAcentral